UAAUUAAACGAACGACCAAAUCAUGCACCGUGAAGACCUGGCAGUGCCGAAAAACAAAUAAGAUGUUGUUUGAUUACACGGAUGAAUGCAAAGAAAUGGUGGAGUGGAAUCUUAAACCUCAGAGAAACAGGCGAUCAGGACUGACCCUCUCGGAGAAGCCCACUGGGACUGACUGACUAGUACAAGAGCGGAGGUUCUCAUUU
This is a long non-coding RNA of Brienomyrus brachyistius, 203 nucleotides long. RefSeq lists it as uncharacterized. The transcript is spliced from 2 exons. Lineage: Eukaryota; Metazoa; Chordata; Actinopteri; Osteoglossiformes; Mormyridae. The record is from RefSeq and is a predicted model, not a curated record.